CUUAGCAAAUUAGCCAGACUAUUGACUAAAUUUCUAACAGCUUGCUCGAUCUGUAAGUUGAACGUUUAACUACAGUACUUAUGUUAGAUUUGUGCGGUUUGUAAUUUUAAUCACAUUUUUAUGAUUUGCUAAUUGCCAGGAUUUACCCCAUUUCCUAGCAUGCGGUUAACAUUACUUAUGUACAAAUAAAUCAAUAAGUGUUUGGUGGCUGUGUGAAAUAAAGCAUCCAUCAUGCAAAUGUAUUAAACAAGAUUAGUCUUAGGUUAUCUGGAUUGUGGGCUUUGGGGAGGAAUACUUUGGCGGGAAUAACACUACAAUGAACACUGUAGUGUAUACAUUUGUUAUCACCUUGUUAUUGAGUUUAACUUGAUUAAUGACUUGUUAUUUACCAUUUAUCUAUAGAAAUAUUUAUUAAGCAUAGAAGGGACAUGGCAAAAAGAUUUUCACAUCAUCUGCGAUAAAUCGCUCCAAUACUGGACUGAAAAAGGAAUGUUUUGUCUUUCAUAUCUCAGGUAGAAUGAUCGAUUAGUGGUAAAUCUGAUUAGUCUAAAAAUGGAUUGAUGAACAAUAGAGCGAGACUGACAAUGAAGAUGCAGCUGCAAGCCGAUACUAGACACAAAGGGAGAAACAUUGUUCAUGGACAACUUGGACAAAGCAGAAAAGAGGGACAUCAAACAGUGGACACGGCGCCGCAAGCGACAGGCUUGGGCUAGUUGGCUGAAAGAACUCCUGGCUGAUGAGAAGUUGCAGUAUGCCGGGGCAACUGAGGACAUGAUGUCUGAUAUGGAGACUGACCCCGGUGGAUUUUUGGUUUCUUCUCCUAGCUGAGUUUGAGUACCUGAUCAAAUCAGCUGAUGAAUGAAGGAGAGCCAACUGCUCUAAUGGGGAGAAGAGCCGUCGCCAAAAUGACCACCACACCCCUACACUGGACACCUGAUUGCUCAGAACAUUUAAAAAGAAAAGCUGUGUUUUACAGAGGUUAGCAUUGCGUAAAGGUUUUAUUCACAUUGACUAUUAAUUUUCUAUUGUUACUCCUCAAAAUCUGUACAUUAUUCCAAACUUUUGGCUGCCAGUGUCCUUUUGAGAACUUGCUAUUCUUGUAUGGCUCUGUGGGAACCUGCAAGCACUUUCCACUUUAAAUGUAACUAUUUGCACUUUAAUUACAUUGCUGUUUUUAGUAAUGUGUCCCAAUAUUUAUUUGAUUUGAAUUAAUAUACGUAACAUUUUCUGGUAACCCUUGUUUUCUUGUAAAUGUCUUGUAAAUUGUUUGUAUAAUUUAAAGAACGUUCUAUUGCUGCACCGCUGUGAGGGUACAUGCAUGCAUUUUCUUGUUGAACUUGUGUACACUACUUUAACAAUUGUACAUCUGUUUAUUUGUACACAUUAAUUGUGAAAUACUGCAUUUUUUGCACUUUACUAGUAAAACUAGGACUACGAAAUGGGGUAUUUGGCCCAGUGUUACAUUUGUGUUUGGAUAUGUCUGAGAUCAGUGAGAAGUGGAGAGGCAAACUGCAGCAACCCAGUCCUAAUUGUUUGCUAAACAGGGGUAAUAAUCUGUGUUGGCGGGUUACUUGUUGGCUGUGGUGGCUUGGUGUUAGAUUCUGUC
Molecule: long non-coding RNA, 1606 nt
Organism: Esox lucius (northern pike)
Lineage: Eukaryota; Metazoa; Chordata; Actinopteri; Esociformes; Esocidae
Exons: 3
Source: RefSeq, a predicted model, not a curated record